CGUUGCGGCCGAGGACUUCGGCCGCGGAGUAGCCGGAGAGGGCGAGGAAGCCACGGGAGGCGAAGACGAUGGGGUGAUUGGGGAGGGCGGGAUCGGUGAUGAGGAAGCUGCUGCUGAGGUCGUCAACGGCGUCGGUGAUCCAGUCGGGAACGGCAGUGGAGGCAGCGGUGGCGGCGGCGGCUAAGCUCCCCAUCGAUGAAACAUGCUCGUGCG
This 213-nucleotide unclassified non-coding RNA is filed under the name Hevea brasiliensis (rubber tree). Lineage: Eukaryota; Viridiplantae; Streptophyta; Magnoliopsida; Malpighiales; Euphorbiaceae. The record is from RNAcentral.